Non-coding RNA from Rhizobium sp. Root708, 47 nucleotides. NCBI's taxonomy places the organism in Bacteria, Pseudomonadati, Pseudomonadota, Alphaproteobacteria, Hyphomicrobiales, Rhizobiaceae. The record is from Rfam.
AGGAAGGCUUCCGCGACGGCAACGUUAAGGGGGCCUUUUUCUUUUGC